RNAcentral lists this ribosomal RNA (498 nucleotides) under uncultured bacterium. Its description in RNAcentral is "partial 16S ribosomal RNA". It matches the Rfam family "Bacterial small subunit ribosomal RNA", at positions 30 to 523 of the family's 1533-position model. The record is from RNAcentral.
AUUGAACGCUGGCGGCAUGCCUUACACAUGCAAGUCGAACGGCAGCGGACCUUCGGGUGCCGGCGAGUGGCGAACGGGUGAGUAAUGCAUCGGAACGUACCUUUCAGUGGGGGAUAACGUAGCGAAAGUUACGCCAAUACCGCAUAUUCUGUGAGCAGGAAAGCAGGGGAUCGCAAGACCUUGCGCUGGUUGAGCGGCCGAUGUCAGAUUAGCUAGUUGGUGAGGUAAAGGCUCACCAAGGCGACGAUCUGUAGCGGGUCUGAGAGGAUGAUCCGCCACACUGGAACUGAGACACGGUCCAGACUCCUACGGGAGGCAGCAGUGGGGAAUUUUGGACAAUGGGGGCAACCCUGAUCCAGCCAUGCCGCGUGAGUGAAGAAGGCCUUCGGGUUGUAAAGCUCUUUCGGCCGGGAAGAAAUCGCACGGGCUAAUACCCUGUGUGGAUGACGGUACCGGAAUAAGAAGCACCGGCUAACUACGUGCCAGCCGCCGCGGUAA